Molecule: non-coding RNA, 349 nt
Organism: Puma concolor (puma)
Lineage: Eukaryota; Metazoa; Chordata; Mammalia; Carnivora; Felidae
Source: RefSeq, a predicted model, not a curated record
UCCCCAAACACUUUGACUCAUCUCUAAAUUGCCUGGGCUUCAUGACCGUGAAUAUGUUUUUCAAAGAAGACCCACGGGUUUCAUCAGCAUCCCCACUGGAUCUCCACAGCCUGGCCCGGGCCCCUCAGCCUGAGUGCAGACAUCUCCUGUGGGUCCUGUGAGGUCGCUGUCAGCUCUCCACCCACUCCCGCCGCUUCCCACCCUCCCUCCUCUAGGCUGCGGACCUUCUAGGUUCUGGCUGGAGACCCGGUUUGAGGAUCUCCAACUUGGAGGAGUAUGUAAGGCACUCUCAUGACUAAAGCACAGCUGUUAAUAAAGUAAGAGCUAAAUAUUCACCUAUUACACAUCA